Molecule: ribosomal RNA, 253 nt
Filed under: uncultured prokaryote
Description: partial 16S ribosomal RNA
Rfam family: Bacterial small subunit ribosomal RNA
Source: RNAcentral
UACGAAGGGGGCUAGCGUUGUUCGGAUUUACUGGGCGUAAAGGGCGCGUAGGCGGAUUGAUAAGUCAGGGGUGAAAUGCCAAGGCUCAACCUUGGAACGGCCUUUGAUACUGUUGAUCUCGAGUCCGGGAGAGGUGAGUGGAACUGCGAGUGUAGAGGUGAAAUUCGUAGAUAUUCGCAAGAACACCAGUGGCGAAGGCGGCUCACUGGCCCGGAACUGACGCUGAGGCGCGAAAGCGUGGGGAGCAAACAGG